GACGAACCGUGCGAACGUUGUUCGGAAUCACUGGGCUUAAAGGGCGCGUAGGCGGCUAGCCAAGUCCGGGGUGAAAGCCCCCAGCUCAACUGGGGAAGGGCCUCGGAUACUGGCGAGCUCGAGGGAGGUAGGGGUCGAGGGAACUUCUGGUGGAGCGGUGAAAUGCGUUGAUAUCAGAAGGAACGCCGGUGGCGAAAGCGCUCGACUGGAUCUCUACUGACGCUGAGGCGCGAAAGCUAGGGGAGCAAACGGG
This 253-nucleotide ribosomal RNA is filed under the name uncultured bacterium. Its description in RNAcentral is "partial 16S ribosomal RNA". It matches the Rfam family "Bacterial small subunit ribosomal RNA", at positions 524 to 776 of the family's 1533-position model. The record is from RNAcentral.